Molecule: small RNA, 76 nt
Filed under: Xanthomonas codiaei
Lineage: Bacteria; Pseudomonadati; Pseudomonadota; Gammaproteobacteria; Lysobacterales; Lysobacteraceae
Description: sX9 sRNA
Rfam family: Xanthomonas sRNA sX9
Source: RNAcentral
AUGUGCCAUUCGUACGCUGGGGUUCCUCGGCGCCGUCCACAUCCACCUGACGACCGCUCGCCACGUCUUGCCAGCC